Molecule: long non-coding RNA, 4947 nt
Filed under: Setaria viridis
Lineage: Eukaryota; Viridiplantae; Streptophyta; Magnoliopsida; Poales; Poaceae
Description: long non-coding RNA (SVIR_LNC008605)
Source: RNAcentral
GGGUGGGAGAGGGAGCAGUGGCCAGAGACGGAGAUGGAGAGCGCCGGGGCGGGCGGUAGGUCGUCGUAGUCGGAGAGGGAGGCAGGCGGCGCGGGGAGGUGGGAGGCGCGGCCGAAGAGGAGGCCGUCGCAGUCGCCGGCGGCGGCGGCGCAGCGGUGGAGGAGCGCGGCGAGGGCGGCGCCGGAGAUGGAGAGGUUGGGCACCGGGGCCGGGGUGGCGCCGUCGCCGAGGGCCAUCGGAUCGGGGAUCCUCUGUCUCUGUGGACUCUGCUGCUGUGUUGUGGUAGGAACGAAAGGAACACGCUGGCGUUUUUUUAUUAUUAUAAGCAGCCACAUUUGAUUAAUCAGUAAUUAAAGGAAGAAAGUCACCGCACAAAUUUUCCUUUUCAGAUGAGAUGUUAAUGGACAUCCAAAUUUUUCAUGCCUCUGGAGCCAAAGCUGUCAACUUGCACUUGAUAAUGGUUUUCAGAUAUUUUUAUUUUUACUUACAAACUGAUGAACUGAGUAAUAAAAACAAAAUUUGGCGUCAGUUUUGUCGUCCAUAUGUCUAAGAUUCGGCUAUUGCUGCUAGGCUUAUUAUCAUAAUGCAGAGCUAUUCGUCAUUCGGUUUCAGGCUUGCUAAGCAUGGGCAAUUGGCACAGAGCAGGUUUUGAAGGGGUGCUUGCCAGGAUAAUCCAAAACGCAAAGCUUGCAGAAACUUGCAGGCAAUUUGUUAAAGUGCAUCCGUUUUGCUUUAAGGCUUAUUGCAAGGCAAAUUGUUAUAUCGAGGGCAAAUUAUCCGACGGAUCAUACGUGAAGGGAUAUGAAAGUGUCAGAGAUAAUGUAGUCCAAGCUGUGUGUGUGUCUGCCUUCUGUGCAAAAGUUAGUUAUAUGACAACAAAACAAAGACAACCUCUUGUGUUCCAACCUACUGUUAAUGAGUGUUUGUCCUGUCUAAAUAAUUAUAUGGUAGCAGUAGACAUAACCUCUUGUUCUCUUAUUUUCUUUUCUUCUCAAGUUUACAAUUGUGCAGCAGUAGACAUAAGACUAUUUUCGGACUUUUUCAAGGGUCAAAGCAAAAAGGAAUGCCCUUUUAUCAACCGCAAGCGCCAGAAUGCCGUUAUGGCAUUUGAUAUUUUUUUCCCUUUGCUUCUUACGAUCCUAGCUACACAUGCAUAUGGUACUUAUUUCUUUGAUAUAUACUAUAUAUAUUUGAACUUAUGUUUAAAUGGUCCAUCUCUUCAAAUUAUGAUUCAAUGGUAGGUAGUCAAAUUCAUUAAAAGUAAAUACGUACUAUAUUUGACCAUGUUGUCUCGUGUCCCACGCUUUUUUCACAGCAUGGAAGGCCGACAUACGUGGGCCAAGGUAUGAAGACAGGUGGGUCCACCCGACCAUGCCGUGUGGACCAAGGCAGGAAGACACGUGGAGCCCAAACCAAGAGGCAAGGCGAACCAAUUCAGCCCGGAUAUCACGAUAUACUUGUUGUAAACUGACUCAGAUUGCUUUCCCUGUAACAACUAACUAGGAUUAGAUUCUAUCCGAUAGCGGCAAGGGGCGUCCCCCGAGAAAUUCAUCCCACCUCACGUUAACUCUUCGCACCUGUGAUCGGCAAUACAAUCGACCAGAACACAGGACGUAAGGUAUUACUCUCCAGAGGCCCGAACAUGUCUCAACCUUGCGCCUCUGUGUUACCAUUCGAGUUCUUCAUCUUACGAUCUCCCCCGCCUACAAAUCUACCACCUAGGUAACCCCCUGAUGGACUGCCGGUCACUAAAUCCGACACCCGAGAACCAAAUUGCCAUGCGUUCCAUUUUGUUUGGAUGCGUCCUGCCGACGGCGAUGGUAGGUGCUAGUCCUUUCAGAGUUGUAAGCCCGUCAAGUUAGUUAGUUGCUCUCAGAUGUAAAGACGAGAUCGAAAUUCUUUCAUGCCUUCUUUAGCCAAAGCUAAACUUGCAGUUCAGAAGGGUUCUUUGAGUUUUUAGUACAAACUGAUUUGAUGAACCAAGUAAUCAACAAAAGAGUAUGCCAUCUCUUGACCCUGACAAAUUGCCAAACACCAAGGUUCAACUGGUACAACCAUAUGCUAUCAUGUAAACAAGAGUACACGCAUCAGGUGUACCAAGGCUAAACAGGUGUGCAACCAGCAUAAAUUAAUCAUGUAAAAAAGAGUACACGCAUGGAUUCUUCUCCUUCCUCAUAACAUCAAGUCCUUACCUCGUUAAGUUUUUGGCACCAGUUUGUUAAUUAACUUGCAAGCCUGUGCUGUAAACUGAAGCUGAAGCUGUGCGCUGGGGCUUGCAUGCACGUCAUUAUUGUCUCUCCUCGAGAGAUGGUCUUUCUCUGGGAGCUCAAGCAGAGGCGAUAAGUAGGGGAUCUGGCCCUCCUCUGCUAGAUGUAUCCCCAUUAGUGCAUAUAAUUUUUCACCAUUUAACUUAUUAACGAAACUGAGAUGACGAGCCAAUGGGUAUGUAAAUUAUAUCAUCCAAGCCAAGACUAUCAGCGAAAAUAUCAAAACAUACAUAUACCUAUAGAUUAAAUAAAGGAAACUGCACACAUUGAUUUCAACAAAAUUAAGGUCAGCGUGGAGCUCAUCAUGUGGCUGAGAUGACAUGAACAGAAUGCGCCACAAGUCUUUAAAUUUUUUUUAAAAAAGAACGCGAGCUCUUAUUAAUGUGUUUUCCCACUAAACACAUGUGUUUCUUGACAUAGAACAAUCAGAGAAAACAGAUAUGAGAAAUUUAGGGAUAAAAAUGACAACUAGUUAACUAGUACUAUCUAUGGCUAGAAGAAGGCUAACUAGUUAACUAUGCUACCAUAUAAUUAUUUUGACAGCAGUCCUUAAAGAUGGAUUGGAAAACAAUAUGCUCUCUUCAAUUCUAUUUUGAGAUGACUAAUUUUUGCACAAAAGGCAAACACACACGGAUUGAAAUAUAUUUCCUUCGCAUCUGUAUCCCUUUACAUAGGAACCAUCAGAGUAUUUGCCCUCAAUGUAACAGUUUGCCUUGCAAUAUUCCUUAAAGCAGAAUGGAUGCACUUUAACAAAUUGCCUGCAAGUUUCUGGAAGAAAUAUAGCCACACAUUAGUAGAUUAUAAUCGCACUUGAUUUUGAUAUGUACUAUAUCUGACCAUGUCGUCUUGUCUCCCACGCUUUUUUCACACACGGAAGGCCGGCGUACGUGGAUCAACUGCAUCAGCCUUGGUGAGCGUGUGAUAGAUCGAUGUCUGCCUGCUGCAUCGAUCAGCUCGAACCGCCCGACGACCUUUUCUCGUUUCUUGAUCGAUCGAUCGAGCUAGCUAGGUCCAGCAAGCAGCUACGUACCAACCCAUGAACUAGCAUGAACAUGAACAUAUUCAUGCUGCGCUAGCUCGACGUCGGACGAUGGCCUAUCUAGCUUCCUUUCUUCUUCUUCCGAUCCGAUCCGAUCCGAUCCUACAUAAGGUAUGUGUGCUAGCGGGCCCACCAACACAAACAUCAUUUGUGCUGGAUCAAGGUUGUUGACGGGUGCUCGGCUCGCCAGCACAGAUAACUUUUAGCCGCCAGCACAAAUCUGAUGUGGCCUAGUGUAAUACAAUAGCAUAAAAUUAUUUUUGCUUCAACUAGCACAUGGAUGGUUCUCUUGCUAUUUGUUGGAAUACGGACGCAGCGAGGAAAUUGUUUAAAUUCAACUUCUGGGCUACUAAUAAGGUUUUAUAUAUAUAUCCUAGCUAGCUUCUCAACAUCUGCUUGUGGCGAGAAGACCGUGCAUGUCAACCGCAUGCAUGGCUGACGGCGGCAGCCGGUGCAAGUGCAACUGCAAGCAGCCGGAUCGAGAUGGACAUGCAAACGGCGUGCGUGCAUGGGCAAGUGAAGAUGCCGCAUGGCUGCCAAUGCAACGUGCAUGGCCGAUCAUACGUGGAUCAACUGCAUCAGCCACCGCAAGCGCGGUAGAUUCGAUGUCUGUCUACUGCAUCGAUCAGCUCAAACCACCUGACGACCUUUGACCUUUUCUCGUUUCUUGAUUGAUCAAUCGAGCUAGGAGCUACGAGCUACCAACCCCUGAACUAACAUGAGCUAGCAGCUAGUCAGCUACGAGCCAGCAAGCAGCUACGUAGCAACCCCAUGAACUAACAUGGAAUAAUCAGGACCUAUUUGGUAGGGCUGUGGCUGUGGCUAAAACGGCUGCGGCUGUAGCUGCUCUGGUGAAACAGCUUCUCUGGUGAAGCUGAAGCCAUUCUGAAAAGUGUUUGGCAAAACGGCUUCUCCUGUGUUUUUAGGAAUGGCUGUGAUAAAUCAAAUGUCAUAGAUGCCCUUGACUAUAUGGAUUUUUUUAAUAGAUGAAUGGAAUGCUUAACAUUUAUUUAUAAUUUGAGUUCAUUAGAAAUUUAAAAAAAUAAAAGAAUUAUUGUUUAAGCAAUAAUAAAAAGAUUAUUUAUCCUCUUUAAUUUUUCUUUUCCUUAAUCUGAUCCACGCCCUUCCAUUCCUUUUUUUCUUCUUUCUUUUUUCUGUUCUCCACGUGACCGCAAUCCACCCUCAUGACUCUUCCUAACCGUUUGCUAAUUUGAGUUCAUUACAAAUUAUGAAUAUAAACUAAAGGGAUUCGUGCGCUUGUAAAUACAAAAGGAGGCAUAAUCCUUACAUAGCAUGCAACCAUAUAAGCUAACUGACAUACUCAAGAUGAUCUAGAAAGGAAGAUUGCUCUAGCAAGAUCAUCUCAGAAUUUAUCCAUGGUCCGAUCAUCUGUUUCCAUGUUGGAUGUAUCUCCAGCAUCUUGAGAGACAUAGUCGGAGAGGAAGGCAGGCGGCGCGGGGAGGUGGGAGGCGCGGCCGAAGAGGAGGCCGUCGCAGUCGCCGGCGGCGGCGGCGCAGCGGUGGAGGAGCGCGGCGAGGGCGGCGCCGGAGAUGGAGAGGUUGGGCACCGGGGCCGGGGUGGCGCCGUCGCCGAGGGCCAUCGGAUCGGGGAUCCUCUGUCUCUGUGGACUCUGCUGCUGUG